RNAcentral lists this transfer RNA (71 nucleotides) under bacterium. RNAcentral describes it as "tRNA-Gly". It matches the Rfam family "tRNA". Rfam says of the family: Transfer RNA (tRNA) molecules are approximately 80 nucleotides in length. Their secondary structure includes four short double-helical elements and three loops (D, anti-codon, and T loops). Further hydrogen bonds mediate the characteristic L-shaped molecular structure. tRNAs have two regions of fundamental functional importance: the anti-codon, which is responsible for specific mRNA codon recognition, and the 3' end, to which the tRNAs corresponding amino acid is attached (by aminoacyl-tRNA synthetases). tRNAs cope with the degeneracy of the genetic code in two manners: having more than one tRNA (with a specific anti-codon) for a particular amino acid; and 'wobble' base-pairing, i.e. permitting non-standard base-pairing at the 3rd anti-codon position. The record is from RNAcentral.
GCGGGUAUAGUAUAGUGGUAAUACGCGACACUUCCAAUGUCGAUACAGGGGUUCGAUUCCCCUUACCCGCU